RNAcentral lists this ribosomal RNA (253 nucleotides) under uncultured bacterium. Its description in RNAcentral is "partial 16S ribosomal RNA". It matches the Rfam family "Bacterial small subunit ribosomal RNA", at positions 524 to 776 of the family's 1533-position model. The record is from RNAcentral.
UACGAAGGGGGCUAGCGUUGUUCGGAAUCACUGGGCGUAAAGGGCGCGUAGGCGGCUUUGUCAGUCGGGGGUGAAAGCCUGUGGCUCAACCACAGAAUUGCCUUCGAUACUGCAUGGCUUGAGACCGGAAGAGGUUAGUGGAACUGCGAGUGUAGAGGUGAAAUUCGUAGAUAUUCGCAAGAACACCAGUGGCGAAGGCGGCUUACUGGUCCGGUUCUGACGCUGAGGAGCGAAAGUGUGGGGAGCGAACAGG